GCCUUCGUGGUGUAGUGGUCAGCACGCUCGGCGGCACGUAUUCGAGAGGUCCGUGGUUCGAAUCCCUGCGACGGCA
This 76-nucleotide transfer RNA is filed under the name Stegodyphus mimosarum. It matches the Rfam family "tRNA". From Rfam's summary of the family: Transfer RNA (tRNA) molecules are approximately 80 nucleotides in length. Their secondary structure includes four short double-helical elements and three loops (D, anti-codon, and T loops). Lineage: Eukaryota; Metazoa; Arthropoda; Arachnida; Araneae; Eresidae. The record is from Rfam by way of RNAcentral.